AUUCAUACUUCGUGAUACCGUGAUCACGAAGGCGGUUCUCCCGGGGCGAGGCUUAUCCAUUGCACUCUGGCUGUGCUGACCCCUGCGAUUUCCCCAAAUGUGGGAAACUCGACUGCAUGAUUUGUGGUAGUGGGGGACUGCGUUCGCACUCUUA
Molecule: small nuclear RNA, 154 nt
Filed under: Castor canadensis (American beaver)
Lineage: Eukaryota; Metazoa; Chordata; Mammalia; Rodentia; Castoridae
Description: U1 spliceosomal RNA (ENSCCNG00000030375.1)
Rfam family: U1 spliceosomal RNA
About the family: U1 is a small nuclear RNA (snRNA) component of the spliceosome (involved in pre-mRNA splicing).
Source: RNAcentral